CCUCGUCGACACAACACACCAUCACUCGAGGAGGCUCAGGACGGUUCUUCCUAUCUCGACUCCGGCUUUGUGAACAGGAGCAAAUCGUCGUGUAUUUGAGGGGAGACAGGAAACGGAGAAGAAGGGGAAGGUUGGUUAUUUAAAGGUUACCAGACGUAGCGACACUUGGAUGUUUAAACAGACCACUCCUAUAUGAUCAUCGAACACAUGUGAAGAACAAUCCAACGCAGUAAACCUCGUGUUACCUCCGACGGUACCUACCACCUAGUCACUCUCGGUGUUACUCAUAGAAGCCGCUCUCGUAGUCACCUUCUUUCCGUCUGUUCUUGUCUCGAGUUCUCUUGGACAGGAGACUUUACUUUGUUGCUCGCUUUAGACUGUACCUGUUCGACUUGCUCGCCUUCCGUAGGCACCUAUUGCUCGCUCGGCCGCGGCUCAGCCUCGAUAGCUCUCGUGCUCGGUACCGGUUCCUCGACCUCGCGGUUUAGCUGGUCUGGUUCCGGUUCCGCUGCAGGGUCUCCAGUCUUAACGUUCGUUGCACCUGUGCCUUCUUACCGCGGCUCCUCCGUAGCCUGCGGGUCAUGCGCCUCCACAGCGUUCUCGACCUGGCGCAAUUCUCCCUCGAGGCGUUCGACUUCGACCUCCACUUCAGGCGCCGCCUCCGGUUCCGGUUCCGGCUCUCGCUGCAGCACCGCUGCCACACGUUCUAGGUCAGGUUGGACGUCCGGCGGCUGCUCUACUUUGCCGCGCACCUGCUCCGGUUGCUCCUCGUGCAGGACCACCUCGAGCGCGCGUAGCUCCGGCUCGCCCUCGCGGCGCUCGACCUCCGGGUCGUGCAGCGGCUCCGUCUCGCCAAGCGGUCCCUCUAGCUCCGGCGCUCCCGGUUCCACUUCCUCCGCGCGUCCCUCCACUCGGCGCGCUCCCUCGACCUCCGCUUCGACCUUCGCUGCUUGCGGCUGCACCUCCAGGACGUCCCGCUCUACCUCGACCACGCGCGGUACCCCUUCUUGGUGCAGGGCUUGCUACCUCGCCGCCUCCUAUGGUGCUCUGUCUUCUUUCUUCUCCCCGUCCUGUCCCGCAACGACGUCCGACGUCUCCGGCUCGACAGGUACCGCUUCUUGCUUGACCUCUCGUAGUUCCGCCCUCGCAAGGUCAAGUACUGGAGGUACCUGGCGUGGGCCUGGCUCUAGUACCCCCGGCAGGUCCUCUAGCUGGCCGAGUUCCGCGUCCUCUUUUUGCGCCUGCGCGUCCACGUCGUCGACUUGCGCUUCGAGGAGUUCCGCUCCCGGGUCUACCUCCGGCAGUGCCGGCGGCUGCUCUCCAGGUUCCGGUAGCACAGCUUGGAGUGCCGCCGCUACGUCGUCAACGUACGGCUCUGGCUCCGCCGCUCGUUCCUCCUCCUCGACUGGUACGACCUCUUUGCCACGCACGAUCGUCUCCGCCUGUUGCAGCGGCGCCUCUACCGAUGCCGGCUCCUCGCCUAGUCCGUCAGACACUUCCUCGACCUCCGCCGCUUCCGCAGGCUCCGCAGCCGUUACUUCUUCGAGUUCCGGCGGCACCUCUCGUGUUACGUCCGGUCCCGCCGCCGUCGCGGUGCCGCCGUCCCCUGAUAUUGGCAGAGCGCCAAGCUCAUGCUCAUGGACUCGCCCGCGCGCCGCGACCAGGCCCACCACCGGCUGUUCUUCCACCGGCGCCGCGUCCGCACCCACGUCCGCGAGUUCCGGUCGCUCUUCCUCCACCGCUACGCCCGGCUCCGCCGCCUCGCCCUCUACUCCCUCUACCCGGGGUCCCUCCGCGUCCACCGCAGCCUCCGCCUCUUCUGCCGCCCGCUCGUCUUCCGCGACCUCGUCCUCGACAUGCUGGACUUGCGUUGCCGCCUCUCACACCCGGACGUCACGCGCAUGGGCGCCGCCUCCAGCUCGUCCCACAGCCGCUGCAGCUUCUCCAGCUUCCCAGCCGCCAGCAGCCACAGACGCCGCUUGACCUUGGGCUUCAGCGGCAGCAAGUGGUAGUUCUCCUUCUUCUUCUACUACGGGUCGGAGGACUUCGAGUAGUUCCUCUUCUCUCCGCCGUCGCUGUUCUCGUGGUCGACUUCUCGACGAAGCGCACGCCCAGCGAGACGAAGCUCUCGUCUCACGUACGUACCGAAACUGAGGCAAAGGACGCCACAGCGGCAGACUUGGUGGUACGCCGAGCCGAGGACUAGGUGGUGCAGCCGGUCGAGGAGAGGAGGCAGCGUAGGUGGAGUUGACUGCCUGCAAAGAGGUCGUGGGAGUGGACUACGAGGCAAUCGAGGUGGUGCGGCCUCACGUCGGUGGAGUCAUCUACCAGCACAACGCCUCCGGGACUGGACGUGGGCUAACGUACCUAGAUGAGCACCGAAUCAGAAUGCCGGAUCCAAGAUUAAAUAGGAGAAAAAAUACCUAACAAAUUGUGCUUAACCAAACAAUUAGUACUUAAACACGUAGAUGUAGACCCACGGUUUAUACGAUUAAACAC
This 2499-nucleotide ribosomal RNA is filed under the name Triticum aestivum (bread wheat). RNAcentral describes it as "partial small subunit ribosomal RNA". The record is from RNAcentral. Lineage: Eukaryota; Viridiplantae; Streptophyta; Magnoliopsida; Poales; Poaceae.